UACGUAGGGUGCAAGCGUUGUCCGGAAUUAUUGGGCGUAAAGAGCUCGUAGGCGGUCUGUCGCGUCUGCUGUGAAAACUCAGGGCUUAACCCUGAGCUUGCAGUGGGUACGGGCAGACUAGAGUGCGGUAGGGGAGACUGGAAUUCCUGGUGUAGCGGUGAAAUGCGCAGAUAUCAGGAGGAACACCGGUGGCGAAGGCGGGUCUCUGGGCCGUAACUGACGCUGAGGAGCGAAAGCAUGGGUAGCGAACAGG
RNAcentral lists this ribosomal RNA (253 nucleotides) under uncultured bacterium. RNAcentral's name for it is "partial 16S ribosomal RNA". It matches the Rfam family "Bacterial small subunit ribosomal RNA", at positions 524 to 776 of the family's 1533-position model. The record is from RNAcentral.